UUCACUAGUACAAUAGUGAGUGCUGUGUUAGUCUGGGAGGACAGAGCUGAAUCAAGUGUGGCCUUGUCCUCAAGACUCACUUCAACAUCCAGGAGCGAGUCCUGGGUGUCAGGGACUGAGCUGGCUGGUGGGAGAUCUGGAGCCGGGUUGGGAGAGGCCUUAUUAGCAUCCUCCUCAACCUACCGGAUGUUCUCUAUAUGGAGGAAGGACUCACCCACACUCUUGCCAAGCUCACCGAGGUCCUACUUCUGGAGGGGGCUUCGCUUUUGCUCCUGUUUACCCACUGAAGGCUGACACCAGUCCUAGAUCAUCCUGUCAAAAACCUCAAGUUUUCAGGAGAGUUCCCAUGCAGGGCUUUGGGAACCGCUCUGCGGGUAUCCUGGUUUUUUAACAAGCGAUUCACACCUACCACCCCAGCCAGUCUUCACUAUUCCCUAAUCUGCCUCAGUUGCACUGUAUAUAAAGCAACAAUAAUAACAAAAU
This is a long non-coding RNA of Cavia porcellus (domestic guinea pig), 483 nucleotides long. RefSeq lists it as uncharacterized. The record is from RefSeq and is a predicted model, not a curated record. NCBI's taxonomy places the organism in Eukaryota, Metazoa, Chordata, Mammalia, Rodentia, Caviidae. The transcript has 3 exons.